AUGAACGCUGGCGGCGUGCCUAAUACAUGCAAGUCGAGCGAACGGACGAGAAGCUUGCUUCUCUGAUGUUAGCGGCGGACGGGUGAGUAACACGUGGAUAACCUACCUAUAAGACUGGGAUAACUUCGGGAAACCGGAGCUAAUACCGGAUAAUAUUUUGAACCGCAUGGUUCAAAAGUGAAAGACGGUCUUGCUGUCACUUAUAGAUGGAUCCGCGCUGCAUUAGCUAGUUGGUAAGGUAACGGCUUACCAAGGCAACGAUGCAUAGCCGACCUGAGAGGGUGAUCGGCCACACGGGAACUGAGACACGGCCCAGACUCCUACGGGAGGCAGCAGUAGGGAAUCUUCCGCAAUGGGCGAAAGCCUGACGGAGCAACGCCGAGUGAGUGAUGAAGGUCUUCGGAUCGUAAAACUCUGUUAUUAGGGAAGAACAUAUGUGUAAGUAACUGUGCACAUCUUGACGGUACCUAAUCAGAAAGCCACGGCUAACUACGUG
Molecule: ribosomal RNA, 496 nt
Filed under: uncultured bacterium
Lineage: Bacteria
Description: partial 16S ribosomal RNA
Rfam family: Bacterial small subunit ribosomal RNA
Source: RNAcentral